AAGCCCCGGCGCCUAACCUACUGGCGCGUCUCCGGACUUGCAUUCCGACGUGUUGCUCAUCCUCCGGGG
RNAcentral lists this transfer RNA (69 nucleotides) under Pachydactylus goodi. Its description in RNAcentral is "tRNA-Cys". The record is from RNAcentral. Lineage: Eukaryota; Metazoa; Chordata; Lepidosauria; Squamata; Gekkonidae.